AUUGAACGCUGGCGGCAUGCCUUACAAAAAAAGGGCGAACGGCAGCACGGGCGCAAUGCAGGUGGCGAGUGGCGAACGGGUGAGUAAAGUAUCGGAACGUGCCCAGUCGUGGGGGACAACGUAGCGAAAGUUACGCUAAUACCGCAUACGAUCUAUGGAUGAAAGCGGGGGAUCGCAAGACCUCGCGCGAUUGGAGCGGCCGAUAUCAGAUUAGGUAGUUGGUGGGGUAAAGGCUCACCAAGCCGACGAUCUGUAGCUGGUCUGAGAGGACGACCAGCCACACUGGGACUGAGACAAGGCCCAGACUCCUACGGGAGGCAGCAGUGGGGAAUUUUGGACAAUGGGCGAAAGCCUGAUCCAGCCAUGCCGCGUGCAGGAUGAAGGCCUUCGGGUUGUAAACUGCUUUUGUACGGAACGAAAAGGUUUGGCCUAAUAAGCUGAGCUCAUGACGGUACCGUAAGAAUAAGCACCGGCUAACUACGUGCCAGCAGCCGCGGUAA
Molecule: ribosomal RNA, 500 nt
Filed under: uncultured bacterium
Lineage: Bacteria
Description: partial 16S ribosomal RNA
Rfam family: Bacterial small subunit ribosomal RNA
Source: RNAcentral